RNAcentral lists this ribosomal RNA (64 nucleotides) under Candidatus Uhrbacteria bacterium RIFCSPLOWO2_02_FULL_46_19. RNAcentral describes it as "partial 16S ribosomal RNA". Lineage: Bacteria; Candidatus Uhriibacteriota. The record is from RNAcentral.
UAGAUACCCCUGUAGUCCACGCCGUAAACGAUGGAUGCUAGGCAUUGGCAGUAUCGACCCUGUC